This 408-nucleotide ribosomal RNA is filed under the name uncultured bacterium. RNAcentral's name for it is "partial 16S ribosomal RNA". It matches the Rfam family "Bacterial small subunit ribosomal RNA", at positions 28 to 526 of the family's 1533-position model. The record is from RNAcentral.
GACGCACGCUGGCGGCGUGCUUAACACAUGCAAGUCGAACGAAGUGGCUAACGGGUGAGUAACGCGUAAUCAACCUGCCCUUCAGCGGGGGACAACAGUUGGACACGACUGCUAAUACCGCAUACUGAAGGAGGGGCUUGCGUCUGAUUAGCUAUGUGGCGGGGUAACGGCCCACCAAGGCGAUGCUCAGUAGCCGGUAUGAGAGGAUGAACGGCCACAUUGGUACUGGGACACGGCCCAGACUCCUACGGGAGGCAGCAGUGGGGAAUCUUCCGAAAUGGACGAAAGUCUGACGGAGCAACGCCGCGUGAGUGAUGACGGCCUUCGGGUUGUAAAGCUCUGUUAAUCGGGACGCGGUACCGGAAUAGAAAGCCACGGCUAACUACGUGCCAGCAGCCGCGGUAAUAC